Long non-coding RNA from Pyrgilauda ruficollis (rufous-necked snowfinch), 1731 nucleotides. RefSeq lists it as uncharacterized. Lineage: Eukaryota; Metazoa; Chordata; Aves; Passeriformes; Passeridae. The transcript has 7 exons. The record is from RefSeq and is a predicted model, not a curated record.
AAAGGUAAACACCUCUCAUUCUAUUUUAUAGCACUUAAGAAAUGCAAGCUCAAGGCAGGCUGUGAGGAACAUCUACACUUAAAGAAGUCUUUCUGGAAAGCCAAUGGAAAUUAUGUGCUCAAAUAUUAGUGAUUUGUGAGAUAAUCUAUUAUAGAUUAAUCAUUUCAGUCUUAUGGUGCAAUGUCAAAAAUAAAUUUGGGUUAUGAAGCUGGAGGGGAGCCACUUGGGGGUCAUGUGUUCUCCCUGAUGCUCCUUAUUUGACUUUGAAAACAGCGUCAUGACAAGAUUUUUGAAGCUGAUUGUUACCCCAUGGAAUCCAAAUCACAAGCUCCUCCAGCAAUCACUGGAACUAUUAAUUAACCGGACAUCAGUCUCUGGACCAUUGCAAGCAUGGCAGGAUCCAUGCAAGGGGGCAGAUACAGAGGAAGAUACGGGCUCACAUUCCAGCCAAGAUGUCCACAGAAGGAUGUGCUUCCCUCUAAGGAGCUAUCAGGUCCCACUGACACUGCUGUCUUCUAACAUGGAUGUUCUUCAGCCUGCACCACUCAUCCAUAGGACACAGCUUUUUUUAUACCAUCUUCCCAACACAGGGCUGAGGUUCUUAUGGAAAUACUGUCUGUCAGUGUUCCUACCUGUGCCUGUGGUGGGUGCUGAGUAUCAGGAGAACAGAGAUCGAGCACAUCCCUGAAAAGGGUGGCUGGUUGGGAUCGCAUCUGUGCAGCGGCACAGUCACCAAGGAGCAGGUUGGAGAAGAAGCAGCACUUCUGUACCCAUGGCAUGAGACAGGGGGGCCCUCAGGAGCCAGGCACCCGCUGUGGUUGGUGGGAUACAAACAAAUCCCAUGGAGAAUGAAGAUGCUCCCAUGAAGCAUAAAAUAUCUCUCCAGAUUUCAGGUCAACCAGGAAUGAUAGAAGCUUGGUCAGGGACUCCAGGCAGUGGCUGGUGGGUUCUGCAAGGCCUAGGGGCAGGAGCACUGUGGCUUCCCCAGGAUAUCACAAGCAUAUAGUUGCCAGCAAACCCCAGGUGCACACAGGAAUGAAGUUGGCACUAGAGACAGCGCACGGGGAACGGCUGUGAGAGGAGGCAGAAAGGCGCUGCUACACUUCCAGAGCAAAGAUCCAACAAUCCAGAGCAAGGAGGUGGCAGCAAGGGCACUGCUGGGUAGAAGGGCAAAGAUGGACAGAUGAUGUCAGUUGUCCAGGAGAAUCUGAAUGUGUUAUGUCCAGCGCCCCGCAUCUCCGGCUGAGAACUGCGCCCGUGGCUCCUGCCUGGGGAAGAGAACGCGCCACCACAGAAGCCGGACGGAAAACCAGGAGGGGAGAAGGAUGGUAGAGGGGAAGCGGCGAGACCCGCUGUCAGAGCGGCAUUGCCGCCAAAAGCAAACGUAACCAUUUCAAACACAACAAGGGCGAGGGCUUGCUCAUGCCAGCGUGACCCACGAGGAAGCCUGUGAAGUCCAUUUCCAGUGGGAAAGCUCCGAAUUAACACAGCCCUGGCAGUGCCAGGCCAUCCUACCCCACCUUGAGCUUACAGUGUCCAGCUCAAGUUUCAGCAAGCAUCUGUCAAGAGUUAUUUUUGCAAGUCAAAUUACACAGAUCUAAAGAGAAGUCAGGCGAUCAAUUGAAACCCCUCAUCUGAUAAGGCAUCCUAUUCAUAAUUGCCUACAUUAAAAUAAACGAGUAUUAAUUUUUGGCAACACAAAACCAGAGGACUGUGAUAAGCUUGCCUGAA